This 440-nucleotide ribosomal RNA is filed under the name uncultured bacterium. RNAcentral's name for it is "partial 16S ribosomal RNA". It matches the Rfam family "Bacterial small subunit ribosomal RNA", at positions 338 to 795 of the family's 1533-position model. The record is from RNAcentral.
CCUACGGGUGGCAGCAGUGGGGAAUCUUGCACAAUGGGGGGAACCCUGAUCCAGCGACGCCUCGUGAGUGAAGAAGUAUUUCGGUAUGUAAAGCUCUAUCAGCAGGGAAGAAAAUGACGGUACCUGACUAAGAAUCCCCGGCUAACUACGUGCCAGCAGCCGCGGUCAUACGUAGGGGGCAAUCUUUAUCCGGAUUUACUGGGUGUAAAGGGAGCGUAGACGGUGCAGCAAGUCUGAAGUGAAAGUUGGGGGACCAACCCCGGGACUGCGUUGGAAACUGUUAACCUGGAGUACAGGAGAGGUAAGCGGAAUUGCUAGUGUAGCGGUGAAAUGCGUAGAUAUUAGGAGGAACACCAGUGGCGAAGGCGGCUGACUGGACUGUAACUGACGUUGAGGCUCGAAAGCGUGGGGAGCAAACAGGAUUAGAUACCCGAGUAGUC